Molecule: ribosomal RNA, 429 nt
Filed under: Chloroflexota bacterium
Lineage: Bacteria; Bacillati; Chloroflexota
Description: Chloroflexi bacterium partial 16S ribosomal RNA
Rfam family: Bacterial small subunit ribosomal RNA
Source: RNAcentral
UGGGGAAUAUUGCACAAUGGGCGCAAGCCUGAUGCAGCCAUGCCGCGUGUAUGAAGAAGGCCUUCGGGUUGUAAAGUACUUUCAGUCGGGAGGAAGGUGUCAAGGUUAAUAACCUUGGCAAUUGACGUUACCCGCAGAAGAAGCACCGGCUAACUCCGUGCCAGCAGCCGCGGUAAUACGGAGGGUGCAAGCGUUAAUCGGAAUUACUGGGCGUAAAGCGCACGCAGGCGGUUUGUUAAGUCAGAUGUGAAAUCCCCGGGCUCAACCUGGGAACUGCAUCUGAUACUGGCAAGCUUGAGUCUCGUAGAGGGGGGUAGAAUUCCAGGUGUAGCGGUGAAAUGCGUAGAGAUCUGGAGGAAUACCGGUGGCGAAGGCGGCCCCCUGGACAAAGACUGACGCUCAGGUGCGAAAGCGUGGGGAGCAAACAGG